UACGGAGGGUGCAAGCGUUAUCCGGAUUCACUGGGUUUAAAGGGUGCGUAGGUGGGUUGGUAAGUCAGUGGUGAAAUCCCGGAGCUUAACUUCGGAACUGCCUUUGAUACUACCAAUCUUGAAUACUGUGGAGGUAAGCGGAAUAUAUCAUGUAGCGGUGAAAUGCUUAGAUAUGAUAUAGAACACCGAUAGCGAAGGCAGCUUACUACGCAGUUAUUGACACUGAGGCACGAAAGCGUGGGGAUCAAACAGG
This 253-nucleotide ribosomal RNA is filed under the name uncultured bacterium. Its description in RNAcentral is "partial 16S ribosomal RNA". It matches the Rfam family "Bacterial small subunit ribosomal RNA", at positions 524 to 776 of the family's 1533-position model. The record is from RNAcentral.